GGCGUGAUUUCGUAGCUCAGCUGGUAGAGCGCUUGCCGCGUUGAGGCAUGGUGUUUCUGUCGCUGGUUCGAAUCCAGCCGACGCCC
RNAcentral lists this transfer RNA (86 nucleotides) under Paragonimus heterotremus. RNAcentral describes it as "tRNA-Asn". It matches the Rfam family "tRNA". From Rfam's summary of the family: Transfer RNA (tRNA) molecules are approximately 80 nucleotides in length. Lineage: Eukaryota; Metazoa; Platyhelminthes; Trematoda; Plagiorchiida; Troglotrematidae. The record is from RNAcentral.